AGGGUGUAAACGCUGCAGACUUGGUGUUGGAAGCCCUUUGGGGGCAUUCAGUGCCGGAGAGAAGUUGUUAAGUCUGCUACUUGGGGAGUACGUCCGCAAGGAUGAAACUUAAAGGAAUUGGCGGGGGAGCACCGCAACGGGAGGAGCGUGCGGUUUAAUUGGAUUCAACACCGUAAAACUCACCAGGGAAGACUGUUACAUGAAGGCCGAGAUGAAGACUCUGCUAGAUUUACAGAGAGGAGGUGCAUGGCGUCAGUGACU
RNAcentral lists this ribosomal RNA (261 nucleotides) under uncultured archaeon. RNAcentral describes it as "partial 16S ribosomal RNA". It matches the Rfam family "Archaeal small subunit ribosomal RNA", at positions 748 to 1008 of the family's 1478-position model. The record is from RNAcentral.